This 496-nucleotide ribosomal RNA is filed under the name uncultured bacterium. RNAcentral's name for it is "bacterial SSU rRNA". It matches the Rfam family "Bacterial small subunit ribosomal RNA", at positions 29 to 517 of the family's 1533-position model. The record is from RNAcentral.
AACGAACGCUGGCGGCGCGCCUAAUACAUGCAAGUCGAGCGAGAAGGUGUAGCAAUACACUUGUAAAGCGGCGAACGGGUGAGGAAUACAUGGGUAAUCUACCAUCGAGUGGGGAAUAACCAGCCGAAAGGUUGGCUAAUACCGCGUACGCUUCCGAGUCUUCGGGCUUGGAAGGAAAGCCGCACUGUGAGUGCGGCGCUCUUUGAUGAGCUCAUGUCCUAUCAGCUUGUUGGUAGGGUAACGGCCUACCAAGGCUUUGACGGGUAGCUGGUCUGAGAGGACGAUCAGCCACACUGGCACUGCGACACGGGCCAGACUCCUACGGGAGGCAGCAGUAAGGAAUAUUGCGCAAUGGGCGAAAGCCUGACGCAGCGACGCCGCGUGGGGGAUGAAGGGUCUUCGGAUUGUAAACCCCUUUCGGGAGGGAAGAUGGAGCGAGCAAUCGUUCGGACGGUACCUCCAGAAGCAGCCACGGCCAACUUCGUGCCAGCAGCCG